CAGCAGCCGCGGUAAUACGUAGGGUGCGAGCGUUAAUCGGAAUUACUGGGCGUAAAGCGUGCGCAGGCGGUUGUGUAAGACAGGUGUGAAAUCCCCGGGCUUAACCUGGGAACUGCGCUUGUGACUGCACAGCUAGAGUAUGGCAGAGGGGGGUGGAAUUCCACGUGUAGCAGUGAAAUGCGUAGAGAUGUGGAGGAACACCGAUGGCGAAGGCAGCCCCCUGGGCCAAUACUGACGCUCACGCACGAAAGCGUGGGGAGCGAACAGGAUUAGAUACCCCUGUAGUCCCUGUCUCUUAUAC
This 301-nucleotide ribosomal RNA is filed under the name uncultured bacterium. RNAcentral describes it as "partial 16S ribosomal RNA". It matches the Rfam family "Bacterial small subunit ribosomal RNA", at positions 509 to 807 of the family's 1533-position model. The record is from RNAcentral.